GGGGCUGAUUAGCUUCGACAUUGGUAACUUGAAAUAUAGCUGCAAGCCGAGCGAGAUCUCGUAAAAACUCAACUACAAAUAAGUGCAAAAAACUUGUUUAGCAAAGUAAAAGCUGCUUUUAGCAUGCCUAACUUUGCGCUAGCUGUUGCUUAAAAACCGACAGCCGUCGAAUGCUUGAUAUCUAGUAGAGUAUUUGGCGCCGAUUACUAGGUUGCGGUGAAAGUUUCUCUUUGGCUUUCAUUUAAGAAAAUAGAAGAGGAAGCGGGUAAAAUUUUUGGUUAGUUUAAAGUUUUAUCAGCUUCUAAACCAACUAAGCUAACUAAGCUUGUAGAAGUUAUAUUGACAGUCUGAUGGACGAGGGUGCAAUUCCCUCCAGCUCCACCA
This 384-nucleotide transfer-messenger RNA is filed under the name bacterium. It matches the Rfam family "transfer-messenger RNA". From Rfam's summary of the family: Bacterial tmRNA, also known as 10Sa RNA or SsrA, is named for its dual tRNA and mRNA-like properties. The record is from RNAcentral.